CUUAACUCAGCUGGUUCAGAGCGUCUGCCUUACAAGCAGAGGGUCGGGGGUUCGAAUCCCUCAGCGCC
Molecule: transfer RNA, 68 nt
Filed under: bovine gut metagenome
Rfam family: tRNA
About the family: Transfer RNA (tRNA) molecules are approximately 80 nucleotides in length. Their secondary structure includes four short double-helical elements and three loops (D, anti-codon, and T loops).
Source: RNAcentral